Molecule: ribosomal RNA, 254 nt
Filed under: uncultured bacterium
Lineage: Bacteria
Description: partial 16S ribosomal RNA
Rfam family: Bacterial small subunit ribosomal RNA
Source: RNAcentral
UACGGAGGGUGCGAGCGUUGUCCGGAAUCAUUGGGCGUAAAGGGCGCGUAGGUGGCCCGGUCAGUUCGUGGUGAAAGCGCGGGGCUCAACCCUGCGUCGGCCAUGAAUACUGCCGCGGCUGGAGCACUGUAGAGGCAGGCGGAAUUCCGGGUGUAGCGGUGGAAUGCGUAGAUAUUGGGAAGAACACCGGUGGCGAAGGCGGUUCUCUGGGCCUGUACUGACGCUGAGGAACGAAAGCGUGGGGAGCGAACAGG